AAUGUACUUCAACUGAGGCACCCAGAAGGUCCAACCAUGACAACCAAUGACGCUAGAAAGCAGGAACUAUUUUAUAGUUGUGUUAUCCUCGCUCCCAACUUAUUCAUAUCAAUAAUAAUAAUGAUUUAAACAAGAUUUUUUAAAAAAAUAAAAUUUUGUUUAAAUUAUCGAAUGGUAAAAAAUGUCAAAUAAUAACUAUUCAACUCCUUCUGCAAUGAGAUUAUACUUAAAUAACAAUUAAUAUCUAAACAAUUAUUAUAUAUGUCUUAGUUUGUUUUAUGCUUACGUAAUGCACAGUCUCAGUAACCGUCUUGACACAGCUGACAUUUUAUAUUGCAUUUUUAUACGCAACUAGAUCUAUUUUUAUAUAAUUAUAUAUGUUUUCCAAACAUUUAAACAUGAAUAUAUUAUAUAUAAGUAAAAUGGGGGAUUAAACAUAGAACUAUCAAGAUCAAGCCUCUCUUCUUUCUUUUUUUUCUUUUGAACUUAUGAAAAGGGAGGGGGCAUGAAGUCAAACAAUAAGGGGUGGCUUUUGGAUUUGGUUUCCGAUUGUGGAUAACAGGAUAAGGAACAAACCUCCCAAAGAUCCACUCUCACACUUCGCAAUGCGCUGCUACGCUCGUCCUCUGGCGGAGACCCCAUGACUCUCCUCUUCCCGCCGCUCUCUCACUCCACCUUUACUCCGCCCAAACCCCAUGUCUCCUCCUCUUUGCCCCCUCGCGCAAUCCCUUCCGCCUCCCCCUCCACCGUGAGUACCCAGCCAGGCGCCAUCAUCGUCGGCGCCGGCCUCGCCGGCCUCGCGGCCGCAACUCACCUCGCCGCUUCCUCCGUCCCCUUCCUCCUCCUCGAGGCCUCCGACGCCGUCGGCGGUCGCGUCCACACCGACUCCCUCGACGGCUUCCUCCUCGACCGCGGCUUCCAGAUCUUCCUCACCGCCUACCCAGAGGCCCGCCGCCUCCUCGACUACCCCUCCCUUCACCUCCGCCCCUUCUACCCCGGCGCCCUAGUCUACCACGCCCGCCGCUUCCAUCGCGUCGCCGAUCCCUUCCGCCGCCCCCUCCACGCCCUCGCCUCCCUCCCCAACCCCAUCGGUUCCCUCCCCGACAAGCUCCUCGUCGGCCUCGCCCGCCUCCGAGCCGCCUCCCUCCCCGACUCCGUCAUCCUCUCCGCCCCCGAGUCCCCUAUCUCCGACCGCCUCCGCGCCGCUGGCUUUUCCUCAGCCAUCGUGGACCGCUUCUUUCGGCCCUUCCUCGCCGGCAUCUUCUUCGACCCCAACCUCGCCACCACCUCCCGCCUAUUCGACUUCGUCUUCAAGUGCCUCGCCCUCGGCGACAACGCCCUCCCUGCCGCUGGCAUCUCCGCCAUCCCUGCCCAGCUCGCCGCCCGCCUUCCCCCGGGUUCCCUCCGCCUCCGCUCCCGCGUCGUCGCCGUCGACGCAGGCGGCGGCGCCGCCCGCCAGCCGUCCGUCACCCUCGAGGAAGGCGACGCGAUCGCCGCCGAUCUUGGGGUAAUUGUCGCCGUCGAGCAACCGGAGGCCGAGAAGCUUCUCCCCCAAGCCUUCCCCGGAGAAGAGAAGAAACCGAAGCCGGUUCGAAGCACGGUCUGCCUUUACUUCUCCGCCGACCGGGCUCCGGUCCAGGAGCCGAUACUCAUCCUGAACGGUUCGGGCGAGGGGAUCGUGAACAACAUGUUCUUCGCCACCAAUGUGACGCCGUCCUACGCGCCCGUGGGGAAGGUUCUGGCAUCCGUGUCGCUGAUCGGGGCGUUUCCGGAGCGGUCGGAUGAGGAUCUGACGGCGGAGGUGGUCCGGGAGCUGACCGGGUGGUUCGGGUCGGAGGUCGGGUCGUGGAGGCACCUGAGGACGUACCGGAUCGAGUUCGCCCAGCCGGACCAGACCCCGCCCACGAAUUUGGUUGGCAAGGAGCCGCGGGUUGGGGAAGGGGUUUACGUUUGCGGGGACCACCGAACCUCGGCGACUUUCGAUGGGGCGCUGGUGUCUGGGAGGAGGGCGGCGGAAGCCUUGAUCAGAGAUAGGGGGUUGUCCAAGAUGUAAUUUUGGCCGUCUGAUGACUGAUCAGUCUAUUUUUCAGUUUUUUAAGCAUAACACGGUAUUUGAAAUCCCUGUCUUUGUUUUUUUGGGUACAACGGCUGCUCAUCGUAUUCUAGUGUAUGACCGGCCAACAGAAUCAAAGACUAGGACCCCCCUCAGACGUGAGAGAGGGGUCCCUCGGUGUGGCCAAAGUACCUCUCCAGUAUGCUGCGCAGCGUAGAAUGCAAACCAAUCCGCGGUUUUGUUCGCCUUCCGGUAUACAUACGCUAUUUGGAAGGCGCUGCAAUUUCUCAGCAUCAGCCUGAUAUCACAAAGCAGAGGAUUGCCUUCCUCUUCCAUCCCUCCUUUCGUAUCUAAUCGAUCAUUGUGGCUGAGUCUCUCUCUAGAAUGAUGUGCUCGGCCCCCAACCUCCGUCUAGCAUAGAAAACUCCCUCCCAAGCUGCUCUGAGCUCCCCUCCGAUAGCUGAAACCCUAUCUUUGUUCAAGUAUGCCAUUCAUGAUCUCUUGACGUAUACCCGUAGCUUGAAAUGGGGAAGGGAUGUUGGGAAGGAGGUUUACGAGCUCAUAGCUUGGAAAGCAGUCUCAUGAGGCUACCAGCAUCCCAACUUUGCCUAACCGACCCUGAUGCAAAUCACACCCACCUUUACCUCCAAAAUAAACAGAUAGGUGCUGAUGCGGCCAAAAUCAAGUUUGCUUAGCACAAGUUAACUUAACAUAUAUGGCAUAGUAAAAAUCUAUUUCAGUUAUACUUAUAUUCUUAGGCGGAUUCAAAUUAAAAAAAUCAAGAAAUAGUUUUACAUUCUAUUAGAUAAGAACUUACUAUCUAUAAAAAGAAACAGUGCUAUUUUUUUUUUUUUUCUUAUAGUUACCUAAAAUUCUAGAUCUUUCGAUCAGAUCACCUUCAACAACCUCCUUUACUCUUCUUUCUUUAUGAGUCAUUGUUUCCUUAUGUGUCAUCCGUGGGAAAUGAAAAUUUAUAUCACCGCCCACGACAGUCUUCCUCUUUUGCUGGAGCUUCAGCAACGGACUCACCGUUGGCACUUCUGCGAGUUCCUGUAUGGUCGACUUCUUUUCUGCGGCCGUAUCUCUGAGCACCACCUUCUCUCCACAUGGGACGCAUGUCCUGAAAGACCGUGAUGUGUCUCUAGCUCAAGGAUUGCCCUUUCAUACUGCCUAUGAUGUGAUAGCAUGCGCACGAGACGCGUGACGAUCUUUGGACCCUUCGUCUCCACAGCCACUGCAGUGUCCACUACCAUUGUUGCCACAUUGUCCCCGGACAGCACCUCACUGACGACCCCAAGGGUCGCGCCUUCAUGAUCGCUGCAGCCGAGAAGCAAGAGCUCGUGCCGACAGUAGCCAAGUUAAUUAAAGCCCGUUUCCAUCCCGAAGGCCAAGCACGAUGGCCACCGCCGAAAGGUUAUCACUGUUGUCGUCCCCACCACACUCGACCCUUUCGUGACAGGUGUGGCAAGCACUCCAGCCGCAAUAGGAAAUCUCAGCUCUGCGACCGUGAGCGGUAGAAGAAGCUCAAGGCCUUCCAUCUAAGAACCACUGCCUCUAAGAAGAGGAGCAUUGAGUUAAGCGAGACGAAGCGCUGCUUAUAAUCCUUCGAUUGUGAGGACUCUAAUGACACCUCUGAUAUUGUCGACGCUUGCCACAAAGUGGAGGUGCCAAUCCUCUUCAACUGAGGCCUCCUUACCGACAUUGACCGCUGGGACCAGAAGAAGCACUGUGGUUCGGUUGAGCAAGAGAAAAUGAAGGAGGAAGAGGAAAAGGGGCAAAACCCCUAGCUACCUUAGGUGGUAGCUCCCUCGGCCAAGCAGGAAGCAAGAGGAGGUGAGGACUCACCGGGGUGUGGCGGAGGUAGGGGAUCUCGUGACGACAACAGCUUCCGAUGAGAAGAGGUGGAUCUCGAGACAGGGGCAGUGGGACAACCAAAAAUCUAGAGAGAGAAGAGAAUUCGGGGGCGGUGGAGCUCGAUUGUAGUGGCACGUCAGUCGCAGAGGUGAGGAAGAAGAAGGGAGGGGCUCGGUGGUGAACCAUCGCCAGAGAUGAGGGAAAUUUAAAUGAACGUUUUUAGAAAGGAUAAGCUCGAUGUACUACGAAUCUAGUGGCAGUUAGGAGCGGUCCAAACGGUCGAGCAGUUGCUCCUUGCCAGACUCCUAGAGUCCCCAUCGACCAUAAUUAUGGUGGCCUUAUCGACUCAACCGGAAGGGGAGAACAGAGGACCACGAUCACAUCCUUUGUUUCAACACCAUAAAUAUGUUGGGCCUAUCGACUUCAGUCCAAUAUGGACUUAAUUAGGCCUAGUUUUACAACUACAACCAAGAUGUGGUGAAGGUGGUGAUGCUAGCAAUAGUGACGACAAUAAUUAUGAUGAAAGUGCUAGCCCUAUGGUGAAAGUGUCGACAAUAGCAUCAACUAUGGCAACAAUUGGUUGUGGUGCUAAUAUAGUAGUGGUAAUGAUAAAAAUAUAAUUUUUUAUUUUAAACAUAAUAAAGUAUUUUUAAAAUAAUAAAAUAAGUUUAAAAAAUAGAGAAUUAAAAUAGUAGCAGCAAAUUUUUUUUUCGACUUUUAUAAUUUACUAAAAAAUAAAAAAAUAAAAGCGAUAUCAAACAUGGAGUUUCACGAUCUAUGCGUUGUCCAAGAAUCAAAGCCAUUUGGCGGCGUUCGUCGGGCACACAACAGGUACUCAUCCCACGUGGCGGUGACCCGGGACAUGAAACUUUCUAGAUCCCUAUAUAUACUACAAAUCCUCACUUGCCCCAUGAGGCGUGUAUUAUUUUUGUGCGAGUCACCGGCUCCUCGUAAGCUCGUUGGUGAAACCGUCAAUUCGUCACGUGCACCUUGGUUGCGGUGGGCAAUUCCCCUUCUACCGUCCGGCAAACCGGGCCAAGACCCUCCAAACCAACCGGUAAGAGCGUCAUGGCUCGUGCCCCACGGACCGCGGCUAUUAGGACUAGAACCGACACCCAACCCCUGCGCUUCUCCCCCGCGGUGCAGAUGGGCUCGAUAGAGGGAGCGAAGGCGGAGAACGGCGUGGCCGCACCCGCCUGCAACGGUGGCGACCAGCGGAACGGAGGAGGUGGAGGGGCCUUGCCGGACGGCGAGGCGGAGGCUGGGAGGAGGGGAAAGGUCGGGGCGGCGGCGGCGGUGCUCCCGCUGGAGGUGGGCACAAGGGUGAUGUGCCGGUGGAGGGACCAGAAGCUCCACCCCGUCAAGGUCAUCGAGCGGCGGAAGAUUCCCAACGCCGGCCCCAACGACUACGAGUACUACGUCCACUACACCGAAUGUGAGUUUAUCCAUCUUCUUUCUCUCCUUUCAAUUAGGGCUUGGGCUAGGGUUAGGGUUAGGGUGAGGGUUUGUAAUUCACGUGGAUAUUGGGUUAGAAAAAGUAACGUAUUGGAAAUUUAGGGUUUUGGAUAGCACCAUCAAGAAUUUUUUCUUUGGAAAAAGGUUGAGAAACUGUGAGUGCUGCCAUGGCGUUUGGUGGAGGACAAUUACUUCGAUUCAGGUUGUCUUACUUGAAGUCCAUGAAAACAUUAACAAUUAAUUAUCUAUGAAUUUUUAGAGGCGUGGCUUAGGAGAUCUUUCUGGUAUUUGUUGUUAAUAAUUGAGCAACACAAUAAGUGAUUUUUAAUAUAAUAUAUGGUGUCAUUAUGGCCUUAUUCUUUUUGGGUUGUAAAAUUUGAUGUCAAAGUUCGCACGGGUUUGUAUGAAAAAUUAAAGACGUUCAUAUAUAUCUUCUGAUGAUGUGAAAUAAUGCUAAAAGGAAAGUCUUGAUUUUGUAAUAUAGGACUAAACUAUGAUUGAUGGAAUCAUAUAGAUGGACUAGAAUAGGCCUAAAAGAAAAUUUGAUAUAAAGAAACUAUAUUGAAUGAGAUUAAUAAUUUAAUCCAUGCUUGUCCUCAAGUAGCACUUGAAAUCAUUAUUUCUUGAUCAGAUGGACUGAUGAUAAAGCAUUUGAUUUUAAUACCUGACUCUAGGAAUGCCUUUUUUCGGUUGGCCUCUCCCAAGUUAUUGCUUUCAAUUGGGUUCAACAAAUCAGAGCUUGACAUACGGGGUCCUGGACUUGGUGUUUUAGUUGAAAAUCAGAGGGGAAAGUAAAAAAAAAAAAGAAGAAAACUUGUGGGAUGCUAUUUGAGAGUGCCUUUAUCAACAUUACCUAGACACUUGGUUUUGUACCAAUAAAUAGAAGUUUAAACUCCCACUCUUUUAGUUGUCUACCAUAUCUUUCCACUGCUGUAUCCAUGCCUUGCUUGCAUAGUCUUCUAGUCUUUAGCAGCACUGAUGAUAUGUACUAGGAAAUUACUAUAUGAUACAAAAACAUGAGUUCCCUUUAGAAAUAAUCCUCUGUAUUCUUGAUAUUAAUUGAGCUUAUUAUUCAGGUAAACCUUCAUUUGUUGUUACACUUGCAACAGUGAGGAAAUUUAUAGUAAAGAGUAUAGCAUCUCAACCCACUAUGUAGCUCAGGUGGUGUCUGUAUAAGGGCAAUAUCUUAUACUUCGCUUAAAACCCUUCAAUGUAUAGAUUGCUUAGAAAUACAUGUCCGACAAGAGAAGCUUACAAUGAAGGUUUUUAUUGAGGGGAAGAGUGCUCGGUUGUGCAGUCUACUUCAUUGUGAGAUGCAGGAUGGUAAUUAGAGCUUAGUGAGAAGGGUUCUGAGAUUGUUAUGAGAUAAGCAACCAUGUGUUUCUGAACUAGUGAUGUUGGUUUGGGGGUGCUGCUGAGCCUAUCAGGCUGAGGAAGGUCAUUCUUCCACUCGCUCGUCUGGAGUCCUCCCUAAAAAGAGGGCUGUAUUGGGGUCUUGCUGAUAACCUCUUUGAUCCAAAGAACAGUGUUGGAUUUUAUGGGGAAAUUCAGAAUAACUAGACAUGUAUCGGGGUGUUAGGUAGUUCACUACUUUUUUAUUGGAUAUUGCUUUUAAUCACCUCAUUUGAAAUGGUUUAAUGUGGUUUUGAGAAGAGAUGGAUCAUCUUUAGGAAAUUAGGCUAUCUUCUGCUUGCUGUUCUAUUAGUGUAGAGUCUUAAAUUGAUACGAUUUGAGUUGGAAGCAUGGUAUGCUGUACCGAUCGGUACCGGAUGUACCGUAUCCAUACCGAUGGGUACCGGUAUCGGCACGCCAAUGUCGGUAUGCCUGAUGUACCACAUCCCGUACCGUACCGACACUUGGUAUGCCUGUACUAGUGCGGCACCGGUACGGGGUUCGGUACCGGUACGGCGAACCUUGGUUGGAAGUGUUCGUGGCCUUCCACAUUUUGGAUGAAAAUUUCUUAAGAUUCUGGUAUUGUCCCAUGGAGUCCUGUAUAAGAACUACUACUGUCAGCACCAGGUGCACUACAUAAUUGCAUGGCAUUUAGAUGUUUGUUGUAUGCUAGAAUUAAUUUUUAGCAUCAAUAUUUAUAUUUGCUAUGUUGCAAUGGUUAUGCAUAACAUAAUUCUGUUUUACAGUCAACAGGAGGCUUGAUGAGUGGGUUAAACUCGAACAACUUGAUCUUGAUACAGUGGAGGCUGACAUUGAUGAGAAGGUGGAAGAUAAGGUAUUGCAGUACAUGAGUUCUGCUUUUACUAAAUUUCAGGAUUGUUGCAUUAAGGGGCCAAAAUGAUGACUGUGAUAAAAUAGACAAUUCUGUCUGUUGGUGCUGUUUGAUACAAUUCGGAUCAGUUUUUUAGAAUGCUUUCUUUUUCUAGUACAUCAUGUUUUGUGUUUGUCCCUAACAUAGUGUUACUUGAAUUAUGAAUCCCUCCGCUAAAUAUUUAUUAAUGCUGUAGUUUUUCCCUGAAAAAAUAGUCUGAGACUUACCUAUGAUCCUUUGUGAUCUUUAUCAGGCAACGAGCUUGAAAAUGACCCGUCAUCAGAAACGGAAGAUUGAUGAGACACAUGUGGAGGUAUUUUAUAAGUUGAAUUGUGAUUAAAGUUACUUUAUGCAAUCAUACAAUCAUCUCUCUCUCUCUCCCUCUCUGUGUAAUUCAUAUAUAUGGCUGGUCUUCACUCUUUCCUAGUACCAGUACAUUAAUCUUGAUUAUUAGUGUCUUGUGAACUUGUAUCUCUGUAACUCGGUAUCCCUUUCUCAAUAUCGCAAUAGAGUUUUGCUAAAGUGUAACAGUUGUAGAUUCUACUAGAUGUUGACAAUGCUUGUUCUAAUCUCAUAUUGAACUUUCCAAGUCUCUCAGUUAAAAACAUCUUGCAAUUAUGGCUACAACAAAGUUGAUAUUAUGAUUAUGGAACAUCAGCUGAUCACAAUAUUGCAAAGAUUGAGCACUAUAGCAUUUGAAUAUAAAAGCCAGCAAUAUUAUUGACAUGGUGCAAUAAUCACUUGCUGCUCAUCAUUUACCUAUUUUCUUUCUCGUGUGAGAAAUUGCUAAUAUCAUGGGCAGGUGUCUAUCAGAUAGGAAAAAAUAAUUUAGUUAUGUGUUACAGAAGAGGGAAAGAUGAUGAUGUUGUUUUCAAAGGCUGAGUUAUUAAAUGAAAAACAUGAUAAUCUUCCUUUUUUUGCUUACCCAAAAAAGAGGCUAAUCUUCCUUUUUGUUGUUAAAUCUUAUAUUGAAUGUGUCUGCAUAUAUGAAACACAUGAAUUGCUUGGAUAUAUGAAACACAUGGAGAUAAUCACGUACCCUUCUACUUCUGCAUUUUGUGAUCAUGUUAUUGCAAUUGAACUCACUACUAACACCUCUUCCAUCUUCCAAUUUUUCCUUUCUUCAGAAGGGUCAUGAGGAGCUUGAUGCUGCUAGUUUGCGGGAACAUGAGGAGUUCACGAAAGUGAAAAACAUAGCAAAAAUAGAACUUGGUAGAUAUGAGAUUGAUACAUGGUAUUUCUCCCCUUUUCCGCCAGAAUACAAUGACUCUUCAAAGCUGUACUUUUGUGAAUUUUGCCUCAAUUUUAUGAAGCGCAAAGAACAGCUUCAGAGGCAUAUGGUGAGCUGCAUCUGAAUUCUUCUAGCCGGACUCUGUUAACAAAUUGAGUGGUCAUGGAAUGUGUCCUAGUAUCUGAAGUUCAUUGUUAUCUGCUCAGUCAUAUAUUUCCCCCCUUCUUGAAACUAUUUCUGCUGUUAAUCUCAUUGCAUAUAAACUGAUCUUGGUCAAUAUAUGUUCUACCAGUUGUAUACUUGCAUAUGGCAUGUACCUCUCUUAGGACCAGUAUGAUCAUAGUAUAAAAGUUCUUCACUUUGCAUCUGCAAAAAGUUUUUUAUUUUAAUUUAAGUACUAUAUUUUAGGUGAUAUACUCCUUUUCUUCCCCUCCUCUUUCCCUCUCCCUAGCAGGUUAAACUAUGGUAGUAUUUUACAUGCCUGUGAAUAUACGUAGAGUCCGCAGAGUUUAAUAUACAUGUAAAAGGAUUGAGAAUGAUUGAUGGAGAUUUUCAUAAUUAUAAUAUUAACUUUGAGAAUCAUAAAUUUAAUGUGUGAAAUAGGAGUUUGCUCCACUAUUUAUUGUCCAAACAUCUUAAUCAGCAUUUAUGUGUUUUAUGAUAAGCUACAAAAUGAAUUCAAGCAUGUGUUCUACAAUGCUAAAGGUGAUGAUCAAAUAUCUGCCUCUCUAAUUAAUAGUGGUUACAACACUCACCUAAUUGUUGAAAUGAGCCAGAAUACUUGGUAUUGCACUUAAAUUUAGUCCUUGACAUAUUGGUUGCUUAUAUUCUUGUUGGUAAUUGCAUGUUGCAUAAUUGACUUUGUAAAAUUAGGCUGUUAAUGGGGUCAAAGGGCCAACUAUUAGAGAUACUGGAGAGUGUGUUUCCAUUGGAUUUUCGUGCAAAUCCAGUUCUCAUUUACCAAUAUCAGAUAAGGAUGAAGGUAGAAUUUUUAAUUUAUUGGGUUCUUUAUGGCAAGUUAUGCUUGCUUUGCCAUUUCGUGUUUUGUCAUUUGAUAAAGCUUAUGUUUUAUAUAACCUGGUUUGGGAGAAAAUGGUGAAAUCUUAAACCAAGUUCAAACUGAAGACCAAAGGAGUACAUGGAGUACAAAGACAUAACAUUAUGAAUGGAAUGCUUCUUGACUUUGCUAUGGUAGUAUGAUAUAUGAUGUCGUAGCAAAGACAUACAUUAAUAAAUUUGAUAAAUAAUGACAUUACAGAAUGCAAAACUUACUGUAAAUUAUUUACUUUGUGGAAGAGCAAAAGGCAUGUAUGGAUUGCAAGGUAAUCUUAGAACAAAUUUGACCAUGAAGCUAAAAGCAUUGAGGGAAUGAUUAGACAUCUUAUUAUGAAUGGUAAUUCAACGAUUACUAAAGAAGGGGGAGUGAGAUCAGGAGCAAUAAUACUCAACAAAUUACUAAAGAAGGGGGAGUGACGUCAGGAGCAACAAUAGAUGUGAUUAGAAGUGCAAAUGGGCCAAGUGGCCCAAGCAGAACCAAGUGUUAGGCUGCUCAGUCUCGGCUGUUUAUAUGAAAGGGCCAAUCAAGCUUGACCUGAGCUAGAGCAGUGCUUAGUAGGCCUUCAUGCUUGGCUUGUUGGGGGUCUGAGGUGAGCUUGAAGGAGCUUCUUUCUUUCUAAGCCAGGCUCCUCCUUUCUUUUUUUGGUGCAAGCCUUGAGUUUUCAGGCUUGGCUUGUUUUGAGCUUGGCUUGUUUCGUAGCUGAGCUGAGCCCACAUGAGCAUCUAACAAAGACUAUUCGGAGCUGUUCAUGAACAGCUUGCUUCAUUUGCAUCCCUAGGGAUGAUGUAGUUAUGAAUGGCUGAAAUAGGAUGGUCGCGUAGUUCAAGUUUUUACAAGUAGAAGAUGUAAGCACUUGGAAUCAUGCAUGGAACUAAGGAGGAAUACGAAAAAAUGAUUAUGUAUGGCAAAAUAUUAGAUUUGAUGCUAUAGGAUCUAGUAAAGCAUAAUGCGCUUAAAAAAAUUCUCAGCUAGCUAAGCCUUAGGGCUAGCAUAGAAAAAAUCUUGGACUUUGCAAGAUGAGGAAAAGGAAAUACAGGAGAUUAAAUUAGAUGGGAUUAUUGGAGUAUUUGUAACAGAUGAUUAGAUAAUGCAUAUAUGUAGAGUAAGCACAGAGUUAGGGGAAAUCAUAGAGUUGUUCUACUCAUUGUUCAAAAUAAGCUUAUUGAAGGCUUGCCUUGCCGGGCUUUAAUGGAUGCAUUUGAAGCAUAACAUGGGAGGCAUUAUAACAGAAAGCCAUAUCACAUGAGUAGACACAUGUAGGUGCAUAUGUUGUACCUUAUAUCAAAUAUGAAAGUCAUAGAUGUGCUCUUAUGUUACUUCAAAAAUAAGUGAUGGAGUUUAUUUAGAAAAUAUACAUGAGCCAUUUCAUGUAAAUGCUACUGUACACGGCACAUUUAAGAUUUCUGCACAUUUGGCAUGUGGAAGUGUGACCCUUGCCAAACAAUAAUUGAGUCUAAGUAUAUACAGGGACGGCCCAAUACAUUUGGAGGCCUAAGGCGGAUUCAGUGAAUGAGGCCUUUUUUUUUAAAUAAUAAUUUUUUUUAAUAAGUAUAAAAUACUUAAAAAAAAGAUAUGAAAAUAGAUAGCUUUCAAGUACAUUAUUUCAACAAAGAUACAUGAAUGCAACAAAGACAGACAAAAAGCCUCUUCAGUUUAAUAUAUUUUUUGAAUGGAAGCAUGGAAAAGUAAUUACGCUUAAGAAAGGGCCUACGAAACUCAUUAAAUAACUGAGAUAAUGCUUGGCAGUACUGUUUACCAUGUCAAGCAAGAGCAGAAUAGGAAAAGGUUAUCCCAUGGCACUUCAUGGUCAAGGUAAAGGAAAGAAUUUGUCCAGAAAGGGACCUCUCUAUAAGAGAAAGUAGGGGC
Molecule: long non-coding RNA, 11779 nt
Filed under: Phoenix dactylifera (date palm)
Lineage: Eukaryota; Viridiplantae; Streptophyta; Magnoliopsida; Arecales; Arecaceae
Description: long non-coding RNA (PDAC_LNC005715)
Source: RNAcentral